UACGGAGGGUGCAAGCGUUGUCCGGAUUUAUUGGGUUUAAAGGGUGCGUAGGCGGCUUGUUAAGUCAGGGGUGAAAGACUGCAGCUCAACUGUAGCAGUGCCUUUGAUACUGAUGAGCUUGAGUAUAGAUGAGGCCGGCGGAAUUUAUGGUGUAGCGGUGAAAUGCAUAGAUACCAUAAAGAACACCGAUUGCGAAGGCAGCCGGCUAAACUACAACUGACGCUGAGGCACGAAAGCGUGGGGAUCGAACAGGAUUAGAUACCCGCGUAGUCC
Molecule: ribosomal RNA, 273 nt
Filed under: uncultured bacterium
Lineage: Bacteria
Description: partial 16S ribosomal RNA
Rfam family: Bacterial small subunit ribosomal RNA
Source: RNAcentral